This is a long non-coding RNA of Callorhinus ursinus (northern fur seal), 1956 nucleotides long. RefSeq lists it as uncharacterized. NCBI's taxonomy places the organism in Eukaryota, Metazoa, Chordata, Mammalia, Carnivora, Otariidae. The record is from RefSeq and is a predicted model, not a curated record.
GGGAAAGUGACUGUUCCAAUAUUACACUGCUGGAACCUAAGCCUCAAGUCCCACCCUUUCUUGUAAUUCUUCCAUCCUUAAAUUUGUGCCUCAGAUACACAUGAUACCAUCCCACACGUUAUAAAUAUUACCCACAUACACUGAUGAUGUCCCUAGGAAGUAGAUUCUAAUCUGAUCUCCACUAUUCAGGUUGGCAAACGAGAAUACUUGAGAGACAAAAUGAGUUAGGAAAAAGAGCUGGGAAAACAAAGGUCUGAAUUCAUCUGUGUGUCCUCGAAGUUAGGACUUUAGUUACAUUUCCAUAGAGUUGUGGCUUUGGCACUUUUGGCUCAUUUUUUACAGUUAAGGAGAUGACAUGGGGGAGAAGGUAAGAAGUCAACUGUCAAGAAGGGGCUCUGGAUAGGUCUAAAUGAACAAAGGAGCCUAGGUGCUGGAAUCUUGAAAAAGUGACCUCACGUCAUUGGUGAUACACCCCAACUGAACUUAGAACUCUGGUUGCACCCACAUUCUAGAGACAGCCUGUUUUCCAGAUCACUUCACCAGAGAUGUUCAAAAGAACAAGAUGUUCUACUGCUGUAUUCCUACCUUCAGAGGGUCUGGCCUGAAGAAAGUCCAGAGUGAGAGAUUUUUAUGUCACUGUACACAUCGGCUCAGUCCACUUCUCCAAAGCUUCUGGUCAAGUGGCGGGAGACACCAACAGUUCCCUAAGGGAUGGGAGUCUCUGGUCUGAGCAACGGAUCCUGAUCUUUCUGGUGGCUCAUGGUGUUGAAGCUGACUACAUUGCCCCCCCUUGUCUACAUGGUAUGAAAAGGGAAUCAACACUGUCUCUGGAAGAGGCUUCUACAAGAUGCUGACACUCAAGGAAGGCACAAUGGAGAAUUUCAUACAGACCCUGGUACCAUCCUUCCAGGAUAGAAACAUCUCAAACAUCACAACCAUUUCCUGCAUAUACCAGGUGUUCACCACAGCCCAACAGGUCCUGGGUCAGCAGUUCAAUAGGAACAGGCAUCUAAAUUUGCCACCCUGGUGAUGGACCACCAGAGAGCCCAGAAGAGGCUGAAGAAGACGUCCUGAAGUACAUACAGGUCCUAAGGUACAGGGCCUCCAAAGUCAAAAGAGAGGGGCUCCUCCCUGACAACUGGAAGCCUCUAAAUCAAGACAGGUGGGACCUUCCGACUUGAUCUCCACCUCCUGUUGCAACAGCUUCUAAAAUUAUUUCAAAGUGAUCAGGAUGAGGGUCCAUAAAGCAUGAUAGAGAAUGGACUUGUGGAUGGGGAGGGGCUCAGGGCUACAUAAUGGUGUGAUUUUCUAAAAGCAGGCCUUGGCAGUGACUAAGAGGAGUCUGAUGUUCUUGGAGGGUGAGGGGAGGCUGCUAAGAGUACUACGUGUUCCACGUGGGAACCUGGGGUGGGCCAGGAGGCUGAAACAUUUUCAGGGGAGAGUCGCUGUGAACUCAUCCUACCCCCACCCCCAUGACACAGGGUUCGUCCCUUCCUUGGCACUUUCCUCACUGACCUGGUGUUGCUGGACAUUGCAAUGGGGAACUAUCUGGAGGUGGGUGAGCCUGAGGAUUGUUGAGGAGGGACCAGAAUUUUGACAUUUGGGAGCAGAGGCCCUGUACUGAGCCCUGAGCUCUCAGUACUUGGCAAACCUCUCCUCAUGAUAGCUUCACAUGUGAGCUGGUGUUUCUUCCCCAUCUCAGUGAUGAGUGAAGGGAGGCUGCACUUAGGACAGUGUUCCCAGUGCCCAAAACUAGUGAAGCAGCAGAACUGCCUGAAUGAAAAACUGCCUGAAUGCCAGGGGAAGGGUUAGGGUGAUGGUCCGGGAGAUCAUAAGAGUCUACAGGGUGGCAGCGUGGACACCUGUCCUGAGGCCCGAGUUGAGGUGGAGCGACAGUGUGGAAGUCAGGGUUAGGGGUUGUUUUCCGGGCCUAGACACAUUGUGUUUGUGAGGGUC